Molecule: ribosomal RNA, 424 nt
Filed under: Verrucomicrobiota bacterium
Lineage: Bacteria; Pseudomonadati; Verrucomicrobiota
Description: Verrucomicrobia bacterium partial 16S ribosomal RNA
Rfam family: Bacterial small subunit ribosomal RNA
Source: RNAcentral
UGAGGAAUAUUGGUCAAUGGACGCAAGUCUGAACCAGCCAAGUAGCGUGCAGGAUGACGGCCCUAUGGGUUGUAAACUGCUUUUAUAUGGGGAUAAAGUGGGGAACGUGUUCCCUUUUGCAGGUACCAUAUGAAUAAGGACCGGCUAAUUCCUUGCCAGCAGCCGCGGUAAUACGGAAGGUUCGGGCGUUAUCCGGAUUUAUUGGGUUUAAAGGGAGCGUAGGCCGUUUGGUAAGCGUGUUGUGAAAUGUAGGAGCUCAACUUCUAGAUUGCAGCGCGAACUGUCAGACUUGAGUGCGCACAACGUAGGCGGAAUUCAUGGUGUAGCGGUGAAAUGCUUAGAUAUCAUGAAGAACUCCGAUUGCGAAGGCAGCUUACGGGAGCGCAACUGACGCUGAAGCUCGAAGGUGCGGGUAUCGAACAGG